UACGUAGGUGGCAAGCGUUGUCCGGAUUUACUGGGUGUAAAGGGCGUGUAGGCGGGACAGCAGGUCAGAUGUGAAAUCCCCGGGCUCAACUCGGGAGCUGCAUUUGAAACCUCUGUUCUUGAGUGUCGGAGAGGGAAGCGGAAUUCCUAGUGUAGCGGUGAAAUGCGUAGAUAUUAGGAGGAACACCAGUGGCGAAGGCGGCUUUCUGGACGAUAACUGACGCUGAGGCGCGAAAGCGUGGGGAGCAAACAGG
RNAcentral lists this ribosomal RNA (253 nucleotides) under Monoglobus sp. RNAcentral's name for it is "partial 16S ribosomal RNA". It matches the Rfam family "Bacterial small subunit ribosomal RNA", at positions 524 to 776 of the family's 1533-position model. RNAcentral also lists the same sequence under 1 other name. Lineage: Bacteria; Bacillati; Bacillota; Clostridia; Monoglobales; Monoglobaceae. The record is from RNAcentral.